AGUUUGAUAAAUGAGACACCAGGACAUUCUUACUUGGUGUCAUCAGCAACUUCCACCUCUGCGUUGGCUGUGAUUGGUGCGUUGGAGUGUCCAGCAGUGGG
Molecule: long non-coding RNA, 101 nt
Organism: Melanotaenia boesemani (Boeseman's rainbowfish)
Lineage: Eukaryota; Metazoa; Chordata; Actinopteri; Atheriniformes; Melanotaeniidae
Exons: 3
Source: RefSeq, a predicted model, not a curated record